Long non-coding RNA from Ornithodoros turicata, 133 nucleotides. RefSeq lists it as uncharacterized. NCBI's taxonomy places the organism in Eukaryota, Metazoa, Arthropoda, Arachnida, Ixodida, Argasidae. The record is from RefSeq and is a predicted model, not a curated record. The transcript has 3 exons.
GCGCUCCUCUUGCAGGCCAGCAGCCCAUGUUAUGUUUCAAAUGCACCAUUGCCAGCUACGGGACCUAGCAAGCUUCCACCACCUUUCACACAAGUGGGUGACCAGGUCCACUUGACUUCGAGCGUAUUGGUAA